AUGAGCUCCCCUCUGACCAUCCUGCUUCUGCUCUGUGUGCCUUGUGUCCAUGGCAUCAGUCUGGCCUCGUCUCCAGACCAGCUCAGGUCUCCUGGUGCCUCGGUGAAGAUCUCCUGCCAGGUGUCUGGUUAUGCCCUCACUGACUACGGCACGGGCUGGAUCCAACAGCCUCCAGGCAAAGCCAUGCAGUGGAUUGGGAUCAUGUGGGGUGGAGGCUCCUUUGACUACGCCGACUCCUUCAAGAGGCGCUUUAGCAUCAGCAGAGACAGCAGCAAUGUGCUCUACUUGGACAUCAGCAGCCUGCAGCCUGAGGACUCAGCAGUGUACUAUUGUGCCAAGACACACAGUGCAGCAGCUCAGUGGAGGAGCUGA
Molecule: non-coding RNA, 372 nt
Organism: Engraulis encrasicolus (European anchovy)
Lineage: Eukaryota; Metazoa; Chordata; Actinopteri; Clupeiformes; Engraulidae
Source: the annotation of a RefSeq genome assembly